UGUUGACAAGAGAGAUGAGUCCCACGGAACUCAGUGGUCUGUAUUCUGAAAUGAAAACAGCCCGUGGACGGGAGGAGCACGGUGCCUCACAAGCAGCCGCGGAGGACUCUGCAAUCUUCCUGCGAGGUUUCGAGCAAGAGAGAAACGGAAAAUACGUCUGACGGGGGAGUGGCAGUGUGGCGGAUAAAGCGAACCUCUGCUAGAAUAUCUUGCCCCUGACAUAUCAUUGUGCUUAUUGGUGAUUUACGAUCGACUGCUUUCCACUAACCGGUGGGCUUCUUGCGGGCAGCAUCAUGUGCUCCACAGCUUUCUAGCCAAAUGCCGAGCAAGGAUUGGUGCCCUGCGGGAGGCUGGAAUCUAUUUAAAAUGAGGCCAGCAUCAGCGGUACAAAGGCCAUCCUCUAGCAGCCCAGGAAGAAUGUGCUGUGAUCAACAUUCUGGGAAGACGAGACAAGAAUGGAGAAGUCACCCACACCGGGAGCCCCAGGGAGCUUCGGGUCCCACUCCAGCACCAGGAGCUCAUCUAUUACACAGCACGGCAAUCAUAAACCGAUUUUUAUUCUGGGUGGGCGUGUGUGAGUUUUACUUAUCUCUUUCCCUCAUCAGAUUGUGAUUUCCUGAAGGGCACGGGCUACUCCUAUUCAACUUUUUAUCCCUACACCUAGCACCUAGAACUGUGUGAUCACUCAGUGGUGACGGAGGUGAAGAGGGGAGGGAAGGAAAAAAGCGAGGACAGGAGAAAGGUCUGGGUGCUUGAGAAAGCCUCUCCUUUGCUUCAGAGGCUUGUUCUGAGGGCUUCUGGAUUUUCGGUCCUUGGGGGCAGGCUGCGAGCUCUCACUGGCCCUUGGUGGUUCUUUCCAGGCUCCCCGUCAGCCUCACAGGGUUGUUGUAAACUGCUCUCGGAAAGGAGUCACAGAGGGAGCCCGUGCUAGGGUCACCCGUGCACUGAACACCCAGCUCAUCCCAGUGGCUAUUUCAGAGUGGAAGAUGGCAAUGAAAUGAAAGUUUUCAUUUCGCUUUGUUUAAAAGCAAGUUGUUCCUUUUCCUGACUUUUAUAUCCCAAGGCUAAGAAACAGUAUAAAACAACUUUUAAAAAUCUAUUUCAAUGUUAUCCAUUGUUCACUAAAAGAGAGUCAUAAAGGGCACAAGAUGAGAGGAGACGCCGGGGCUCAUGUGAGUCGCUCGCGGAACGCAUUGGGAGAGCCCUUUCAAAAGAUUUGAUUUAGGAAGCAGGAAAUGAUUAAAACCGGAUGGCUCUGAUGAAAAUUAGAUUUAAAAUUUUCAUUGAAUUUGCAUAGUUGGAUGUAAUUUUACUUACGAUCUCCCCUAUAUUCCCUGCCUACAACAUUCAAAACAGGUAAGGCCACGUGAACACCUGUGCCGUACGUAUGGGUGUAGGUACGCACACAUAUUUUUAAAUUAUCGAGUCCGGAUGAGAGUUUUUCUUACGACAUACAGAUAUACAACAGCGUAUCCCCAGAUAUGUUUAAUUCACUUUCAUUACCAGCCCAUCUCUUCGCCACAUAAUCGUCACACAGUGGUUCCAACAGGACACCUGAGCGUGGAACGCCGACCCAGCCUUUAAAACACAAGUUUCGGAUUUGGUAUUUUAGCAGGUAAAAGUUCAGUUUUUGGUUUUACCCUUAGAAGAGAGUACGUACAUAGCAUUUACUCCAUUUUUGUAAGGUAAAGACCGAUAAAUCCCCAAAGGCCUUGGCAUUUAGGACAAGGUUAAUGCUUUAUCCAUAAAUUUACUCCUUAAACUCUGUGAUUCCUUGUAUCCAAGUGAGAUACCCUGUUGGCUGGACAAUGGCCUAUAUCUUAAAUAUGCAGAGACCCUCCCGAGCACACGGAGUGUGAAGGAACCAUCGCGAAUGGACAAUUAGAAGUCCUAGCGAGUUUAGCCAUCUCUGGGUGUCUAAAUUAAGAAUGCCAGGGUAUGACUGAUACCCGGGAGAGCCUCUGGACUUCUCUACGUGAUGAUUAGCCUUCACUUUAUGGAGGCGUGACAACAACAUAAUAAUAGCCACCGUUUAUUUAUCUACUCCUGAAUGCUUACCAUGUGAGGGCGAAAGCCUCCUUAAUUCUUAUCUUAUUCAGUCCUCACAACAGUCCUGUGAAGUAGGUACUAUCAUCAUCCCAUUGUGUAACAAACAAACUGAGGGUUAGAGACGUUAAUUAACUUGUCCCAGGUCGGAGGACUAAAAACGUUUGGGAGCCAUUUUUUUGAAUAAAAUUCUAACAAAGUCUACGUUUUAAGCCGUUGUAAAGUCUUCCUGGUAAGACACACGUCUGUGGGAUCCCGUGAUUUGUAGUUAUUCAUUUUGUGUAUAGCUUGACGGAGAAAGUAUCAUUCUCGUUGCCUACACAUAAAAGCUUCAAACUGAUCCUUUAGGAGGGUGUGUGAUUCCAUUUAGUCGUUGAUAAAUAGAGUCCUGCGUUAGCAUGUAACAUGGAUCUUUUUCCUCGUUUACCUUCCGCUGAACUUUUUGAGAGACCGUCUCACUCCGAAGAGCUUUGGAUCAGUCCCGUUUGUAAUGAAAUGCGAAAACGAACCUUUGUUUUGGCGGGAACCAGGAAGUCGCGGGCUUCUGCGCUCCUGGUCCGCGUCCGCAUCGACGAGGAAACCGAGUUUCACGAGCUGCUGCGGGAGACGGUAAGAUUUCCUAACUGAGCAAAAAAUUCUCUUGACUUUAUGGACUCGCUCUAACUUGGUGCACGUGUGGCUACUUAAGUUUAAACUCGAAUUCAUUAAAAUUCAAUAAAAAUAAAAAUCCAGCCCCUCAGCACCCGAGCCACACUGCGAGUGCCCAGUACCCUCCAGGGGCUGCCAUUUUGGAAAGCACGGACACGGAAUAUUUCCAGCCGCGCAGAAAGCUGGGCUGGACAGAGACGUCUGGAUUACUUGGACUCCCGAGCACCAAGUCCCACGCUUAGCAAAGACCACUAUUUUUUUCACCAUGAAAGAGAAUUUUUUCCCCCACAACUAAACAACGUCGAAGUAUGGUUACGCACAGGAUGACGUUCGCUUUAGGUGCGCGACACGGCGGUCUGACAAGUCUGUGUGUCAGGCCGUGUUCGCCACAAGUGUAGCUGCCAUCCGUCGCCACGCAACACUACGACGACACCGCCGGCUGUCCUCCCCGCGCCGCACCUCUGAUCCCUCCGGCUUCCUCAUUCCGCAAACGGAAGCCUGUGCCUCUACUUCCUUUCACCCGCUUUGCCCAUCCCCCCACUCCUCCCCUCUGGCAACCGUCACUCCGGCCUCGGACUGAUGGAUCCGACAGCUACUUCCGGAAGUAACGGUGCCUUGGGAUGCGGAAGCCGAAGCGGAACGGCCCAUCCGUGCAGUGAGCCUGCUUUGGGCUCCGCUGCCUGUGUCUCAGGGCUGCCAGUUUGUUUCUUUUCAUUACUGAGAGGAGAGGACGUUCCGCGUGGUGCCUAGUAACGCAGCGCAGACAGUCAACAGCAGCUCACAGGCCGCUCCUGCCAGCCUCUCUCGGGUGUUCCGCCUGGGGGGGGAUUACAACACCUGCCACGGCCUGGGUGGUCCAGUGCGGCCCGUCGCCAGCAACCUGCCCGCACCGCCAGCACCGGGAAAGGUAGGGCAUUCCUCUCCCUCUGCCUCUUUGCCGUGCAAACGCUCGUCGACUGUUCACCAAACGUGGGGGACGCUUUCUCUGGAUUUAUUCACGAUCGCGCUCUGAUUCGCCGCCUCUCAACCGUUUCCACGCAGGAAUACAAAGGAGGAGUCUGUGAUUGGGGAGGACGGCACAUGGCGUGGGGACGCAAGCCCCGCUGAGACACAGUGCCAGCCACACACACACACACACACACACACACA
Long non-coding RNA from Lynx canadensis (Canada lynx), 3843 nucleotides. RefSeq lists it as uncharacterized. The transcript is spliced from 4 exons. The record is from RefSeq and is a predicted model, not a curated record. Lineage: Eukaryota; Metazoa; Chordata; Mammalia; Carnivora; Felidae.